GAGCGGCGGACGGGUGAGUAAUGCCUAGGAAUCUGCCUGGUAGUGGGGGAUAACGCUCGGAAACGGACGCUAAUACCGCAUACGUCCUACGGGAGAAAGCAGGGGACCUUCGGGCCUUGCGCUAUCAGAUGAGCCUAGGUCGGAUUAGCUAGUUGGUGAGGUAAUGGCUCACCAAGGCGACGAUCCGUAACUGGUCUGAGAGGAUGAUCAGUCACACUGGAACUGAGACACGGUCCAGACUCCUACGGGAGGCAGCAGUGGGGAAUAUUGGACAAUGGGCGAAAGCCUGAUCCAGCCAUGCCGCGUGUGUGAAGAAGGUCUUCGGAUUGUAAAGCACUUUAAGUUGGGAGGAAGGGCAUUUACCUAAUACGUAAGUGUUUUGACGUUACCGACAGAAUAAGCACCGGCU
This 409-nucleotide ribosomal RNA is filed under the name uncultured bacterium. Its description in RNAcentral is "bacterial SSU rRNA". It matches the Rfam family "Bacterial small subunit ribosomal RNA", at positions 93 to 498 of the family's 1533-position model. The record is from RNAcentral.